UUCCCCUAGUAACGGCGAGUGAAGUGGGAAAAGCUCAACUUUGUAAUCUGGUUGCCUUUGGCGAUCCGAGUUGUAGUCUAGAGAAGUGUUAUCCGCGCAGCCCCUUAUAGAUUUCGGUUGGAAUGCCAAGUCAAAGAGGGUGAGAAUCCCGUAUUUGAUAAGGUGGGCUUGUGCAUUGUGAUACAUUUUCAAAGAGUCGAGUUGUUUGGGAAUGCAGCUCAAAGUGGGUGGUAAAUUCCAUCUAAAGCUAAAUAUUGGCGAGAGACCGAUAGCGAACAAGUACCGUGAGGGAAAGAUGAAAAGCACUUUGGAAAGAGAAUGAAAUAGUACAUGAAAUUGCUGAAAGGGAAACGAUUGAAGUUAGACUUGCGCGGUUGGUAUUCAACCUUGGCUUCGGCCUUGGUGCAUUUGCCAAUCAUUGCAGGCCAGCAUCAGUUUGCUUUGCUGUAAAAGGGUUGA
Molecule: ribosomal RNA, 459 nt
Filed under: Kondoa changbaiensis
Lineage: Eukaryota; Fungi; Basidiomycota; Agaricostilbomycetes; Agaricostilbales; Kondoaceae
Description: partial large subunit ribosomal RNA
Rfam family: Eukaryotic large subunit ribosomal RNA
Source: RNAcentral